UACGUAGGGUGCGAGCGUUGCCCGGAUUUAUUGGGCGUAAAGGGCGCGUAGGCGGCUCGGCACGUCCGUUGUGAAAUCGCCCGGCUCAACUGGGCGGGGUCAGCGGAUACGGUCGAGCUUGAGCAAGCUAGGGGGCAAUGGAAUUCCCGGUGUAGUGGUGGAAUGCGUAGAUAUCGGGAGGAACACCGGUGGCGAAGGCGGGUCUCUGGGCCGGUACCGACGCUGAGGAGCGAAAGCGUGGGGAGCGAACAGG
Molecule: ribosomal RNA, 253 nt
Filed under: uncultured bacterium
Lineage: Bacteria
Description: partial 16S ribosomal RNA
Rfam family: Bacterial small subunit ribosomal RNA
Source: RNAcentral